AUUUGAGCGCUCCCUGCUCAGUCUAUUCAGAAGUCUGGAUAGAAUGUAGAACAAUGAUGGCCUGUCAGCUGCCCACUAGUUAUAGAGGCUCAUGUUAUUUCCCUUUUCUUAGCAACCCCCGUAAAACCCUGGUUUUAUACAUCAACAGCCAUAGUAUCAUGGUUGUAUAAUGGCAGCCCAAUAGAAUUCAGCUAGAAAACCCUUCAUUUAUAAUUUCUCUCAAGGAACUACUCAGCAAGUAGGGAAUAUUAGAUUCUGAUGCAUGCAGAAAAUAAAGUCAUUGAAAAUGUGAUGCACAGCCAGUGUUUGUCUCUCUUUACCCAAAAGUCAGUUUUUCGGAGUCACAUUCUCCUCUGCUUGUGAUGAGGCUUUCCUAUACCAUAUGUCUGACUAGCUGUUAAAUCUGUGCUGAGGCAAUGAGACUCUAGUAGAGAUCUUCCCAUUUGGGGAUGACAGGUCCAUAGCCUUUUUGUGAAGGAAAAUGAAGGCAUUGUGGUGUCUAUGAAUCUGCUACUUGAAGAGGUCAAUUUUUGAUUAAGAAUAUUUUUAUUCCAAACUGCUUAGCUGUCCACCUUUUGCAAAUACCACACUAAAAUCAAUCUCAUGUUUUUGCUAAAUUAAGGCUUAAUAAAUUUGUUUAUAAAGUUG
Molecule: long non-coding RNA, 648 nt
Organism: Sapajus apella (tufted capuchin)
Lineage: Eukaryota; Metazoa; Chordata; Mammalia; Primates; Cebidae
Exons: 2
Source: RefSeq, a predicted model, not a curated record